UGGGGAAUAUUGCACAAUGGGCGCAAGCCUGAUGCAGCCAUGCCGCGUGUGUGAAGAAGGCCUUCGGGUUGUAAAGCACUUUCAGCGGGGAGGAAGGCGGUGAGGUUAAUAACCUCACCGAUUGACGUUACCGACAGAAGAAGCACCGGCUAACUCCGUGCCAGCAGCCGCGGUAAUACGGAGGGUGCAAGCGUUAAUCGGAAUUACUGGGCGUAAAGCGCACGCAGGCGGUUGAUUGAGUCAGAUGUGAAAUCCCCGGGCUUAACCCGGGAAUUGCAUCUGAUACUGGUCAGCUAGAGUCUUGUAGAGGGGGGUAGAAUUCCAUGUGUAGCGAUGAAAUGCGUAGAGAUGUGGAGGAAUACCGGUGGCGAAGGCGGCCCCCUGGACGAAGACUGACGCUCAGGUGCGAAAGCGUGGGGAGCAAACAGG
This 429-nucleotide ribosomal RNA is filed under the name Chloroflexota bacterium. RNAcentral's name for it is "Chloroflexi bacterium partial 16S ribosomal RNA". It matches the Rfam family "Bacterial small subunit ribosomal RNA", at positions 355 to 776 of the family's 1533-position model. The record is from RNAcentral. Lineage: Bacteria; Bacillati; Chloroflexota.